GAGCGUUGUUCGGAAUUACUGGGCGUAAAGGGCAUGUAGGCGGUUCUGUAAGCCUGACGUGAAAGGCUAUGGCUCAACCAUGGCACUGCGCUGGGAACCGCGGGACUUGAAUCAUGGAGGGGGAGCUGGAAUUCCAGGUGUAGGGGUGAAAUCUGUAGAUAUCUGGAAGAACACCAGUGGCGAAGGCGAGCUCCUGGCCAAUGAUUGACGCUGAGGUGCGAAAGUGUGGGGAUC
RNAcentral lists this ribosomal RNA (234 nucleotides) under uncultured bacterium. Its description in RNAcentral is "partial 16S ribosomal RNA". It matches the Rfam family "Bacterial small subunit ribosomal RNA", at positions 536 to 769 of the family's 1533-position model. The record is from RNAcentral.